Molecule: ribosomal RNA, 253 nt
Filed under: uncultured prokaryote
Description: partial 16S ribosomal RNA
Rfam family: Bacterial small subunit ribosomal RNA
Source: RNAcentral
ACGGGGGGUGCGAGCGUUGUCCGGAAUCACUGGGCGUAAAGGGCGCGUAGGUGGUUUGAUAAGGGUGUGGUGAAAGUCCGGGGCUCAACCCCGGAUCUGCCGUGCCGACUGUCAAACUCGAGGGCUGUAGAGGCAGACGGAAUUCCGGGUGUAGCGGUGGAAUGCGUAGAGAUCCGGAAGAACACCGGAGGCGAAGGCGGCUUGCUGGGCGUGAUCUGACGCUGAGGCGCGAAAGCGUGGGGAGCGAACAGGA